RNAcentral lists this ribosomal RNA (559 nucleotides) under Pichia ethanolica. RNAcentral's name for it is "eukaryotic LSU rRNA". It matches the Rfam family "Eukaryotic large subunit ribosomal RNA", at positions 62 to 648 of the family's 3401-position model. The record is from RNAcentral. Lineage: Eukaryota; Fungi; Ascomycota; Pichiomycetes; Pichiales; Pichiaceae.
AAACCAACAGGGAUUGCCUCAGUAGCGGCGAGUGAAGCGGCAAGAGCUCAGAUUUGAAAUCGUGUUUUGGCACGAGUUGUAGAGUGUAGGCUGGAGUCUCUGUGGAGCGCGGUGUCCAAGUCCCUUGGAACAGGGUGCCUGAGAGGGUGAGAGCCCCGUGGGGUGCUGCGCGAAGCUUUGAGGCCCUGCUGACGAGUCGAGUUGUUUGGGAAUGCAGCUCUAAGCGGGUGGUAAAUUCCAUCUAAGGCUAAAUAUUGGCGAGAGACCGAUAGCGAACAAGUACUGUGAAGGAAAGAUGAAAAGCACUUUGAAAAGAGAGUGAAACAGCACGUGAAAUUGUUGAAAGGGAAGGGUAUUGGGCCCGACAUGGGGAGUGCGCACCGCUGUCUCUUGUAGGCGGCGCUCUGGGCGCUCUCUGGGCCAGCAUCGGUUCUUGCUGCGAGAGAAGUGGUGCCGGAAAGUGGCUCUUCGGAGUGUUAUAGCCGGUGCCGGAUGUCGCGUGCGGGGACCGAGGGCUGCGACAUCUGUCUCGGAUGCUGGCACAACGGCGCAAUACCGC